CCUACGGGCGGCAGCAGUAGGGAAUCUUCCACAAUGGGCGAAAGCCUGAUGGAGCAACGCCGCGUGGGUGAAGAAGGUCUUCGGAUCGUAAAACCCUGUUGUUAGUGAAGAAAGUGCGUGAGAGUAACUGUUCACGUUUCGACGGUAUCUAACCAGAAAGCCACGGCUAACUACGUGCCAGCAGCCGCGUGAAUACGUAGGUGGCAAGCGUUAUCCGGAUUUGUUGGGCUUAACGGGAACGCAGGCGGUCUUUUAAUUCUGAUGUGAAAGCCUUCGGCUUAACCGUAGUAUUGCAUGGGAAACGGGGAGACUUGAGUGCAGAAGAGGAGAGUGGAACUCCAUGGGUAGCGGUGAAAUGCGUAGAUAUAUGGAAGAACACCAGUGGCGAAGGCGGCUCUCUGGUCUGUAACUGACGCUGAAGUUCGAAAGCGUGGGUAGCAAACAGGAUUAGAUACCCCAGUAGUC
This 465-nucleotide ribosomal RNA is filed under the name uncultured bacterium. Its description in RNAcentral is "partial 16S ribosomal RNA". It matches the Rfam family "Bacterial small subunit ribosomal RNA", at positions 338 to 795 of the family's 1533-position model. The record is from RNAcentral.